CGCCCCUUGCAAAAUGAAUUGAUGAAUAAGGGGUCCUGCCUGCCCAGUGACUUAGUUAAACGGCCGCGGUAUCUUGACCGUGCAAAGGUAGCAUAAUCAUUUGCCUCUUAAAUAGAGGCUGGUAUGAAUGGCAAGACUGGGGUUAAGCUGUCUCUUUCUCAAUACUUGAAUUUUAUAUUUUUGUGAAGAAGCGGAAAUAUGUUCGUAGGACGAGAAGACCCUAUCGAGCUUUAGUGAAAUUAUUAGUAGUAUGUAAAUAUUAAAUAUCUAAUUAAAUAAUUAAAUUAUUUUUUACACUUAAUAUUUUGUAUUUGGCUAUGUAAUAAAGUAAUUUUGAUUGGGGCAAUCGCGGAGUAUAAAAAUCCUCCGCUUAAAGUAUUAAAAAAUUACCAUUUUUAAAUAAAUUGACCCGCUAUAUAGCGAGCAAAGGAACAAGUUACCGUAGGGAUAACAGCGUAAUUUUUUUGGAGAGUUCAUAUUGAUAAAAAAGUUUGCGACCUCGAUGUUGGAUCGAGAUUUCCUAGAGAUGCAGCAGUUUCUAAGGGUUGGUCUGUUCGACCAUUAAAAUCUU
Molecule: ribosomal RNA, 571 nt
Filed under: Plazaster borealis
Lineage: Eukaryota; Metazoa; Echinodermata; Asteroidea; Forcipulatida; Labidiasteridae
Description: partial 16S ribosomal RNA
Rfam family: Bacterial large subunit ribosomal RNA
Source: RNAcentral